This 433-nucleotide ribosomal RNA is filed under the name uncultured bacterium. RNAcentral describes it as "partial 16S ribosomal RNA". It matches the Rfam family "Bacterial small subunit ribosomal RNA", at positions 29 to 507 of the family's 1533-position model. The record is from RNAcentral.
AACGAACGCUGGCGGCAUGCCUAACACAUGCAAGUCGAACGAGACCUUCGGGUCUAGUGGCGCACGGGUGCGUAACGCGUGGGAACCUGCCCUUAGGUUCGGAAUAACUCCCCGAAAGGGGUGCUAAUACCGGAUAUUGUCUUCGGACCAAAGAUUUAUCGCCUUUGGAUGGGCCCGCGUUGGAUUCGCUAGUUGGUAGGGUAAAAGCCUACCAAGGCGACGAUCCAUAGCUGGUCUGAGAGGAUGAUCAGCCACACUGGGACUGAGACACGGCCCAGACUCCUACGGGAGGCAGCAGUGGGGAAUAUUGGACAAUGGGCGAAAGCCUGAUCCAGCAAUGCCGCGUGAGUGAUGAAGGCCUUAGGGUUGUAAAGCUCUUUUACCCGGGAUGAUAAUGACAGUACCGGGAGAAUAAGCUCCGGCUAACUCCGUG